RNAcentral lists this unclassified non-coding RNA (329 nucleotides) under soil metagenome. RNAcentral describes it as "partial contains 5.8S ribosomal RNA, internal transcribed spacer 2, and large subunit ribosomal RNA". The stretch from base 1 to 120 matches the Rfam family "5.8S ribosomal RNA", at positions 35 to 154 of the family's 154-position model. The record is from RNAcentral.
GAUGAAGAACGCAGUGAAACGCGAUAAGUAAUGUGAAUUGCAGAAUUCAGUGAAUCAUCGAAUCUUUGAACGCACAUUGCGCCCCCUGGUAUUCCGGGGGGCAUGCCUGUCCGAGCGUCAUUACAACCCUCAAGCUCAGCUUGGUGUUGGGCCCCGCCGCCCCGGCGGGCCCUAAAGUCAGUGGCGGUGCCGUCCGGCUCCGAGCGUAGUAAUUCUUCUCGCUCUGGAGGUCCGGUCGUGUGCUCGCCAGCAACCCCCAAUUUUUUUCAGGUUGACCUCGGAUCAGGUAGGGAUACCCGCUGAACUUAAGCAUAUCAAUAAGCGGAGGA